UAAGAUUCCUUGCACCCAUUCAACAAUUCAGAUAACCUCGCGGCCAAACUUUGCUUUGCUGCAGGAGAAACACCGUGCUUUCCAACGAUCGACUCUAGAACUGCCUCGGAAAGUAGUUUGUUUUCUAUCACCGUGUUUGCAGCUUCAGGUACAGAUGCAUCUCUAGAGAAGCUAAUCUGUGGCGAAAGCAAGGGGGAAAGAUGUCAAAAUCCGAUGUAAACUACAGAAGUAACCAUCCAAAAGUAGGAUUACUAACCGUUAGUGAUCCUUUGGGAGAUUGCGUGAAAAGAAUGGAGGCGCCGGGUGGGAAGUUUUGAUCUUUGAAGACCUCAAGGAACUUUUCAAUGGCUUUGCCUUCUGCAUCAGUGUAAAUUCCGAUUGACUUCCAAAAGGCAACGCAAUUCUCCGAAACUUUGUCAGAGUAUUGCUGGCCUGUGAGUGGCAGUAUCGUUGUCACUUGAAUGAAUUUCUCAAACGGACCUACAAAAGGAUAGCGAAGAUCAUAAACCGCGCUACAAAACUAUAGUCAUAUCUUUAGUAACUGUUUCCUAUGCCUCAAGUAAUCACCAUAACCAGAAGAUAGCACUACAUUUUGAGAGAUUCAUUCAUUCUAAUUGGCUGGUCAGGACUAAAUUACCACCAUAACCAUGAGCAUACAUAAGUUUAAAAAUGAGAGUAUAACUCAAGAAAUCUACGACAUUUGUUGAAUGUACAGAUCUAUAUCGGCAACUGAGAGAAGGGCGGGCCACAGGGGAUGAAUAAUGUAACAAUAUUCAACCAGUCGUUAAAACAGCGAAGAAAUCCGUGUUACCUGUAACGAUGUCCCUGAAGAACUCAACGGACUCCGUCAACUCCUCGGCCGUCUUACCCUUCCACUUAACGGCGAGCAGAGGCACGGCGUUUUCCUCCAAGUACACUCCGAUCGCCGUGAACUUCACGAAGUUCCCCUGAAUCUCCAGCCCCCUCACCCCUGCGCACGUUAGCAACCAAAAUACCGUCAAUCGGAACCAAAAGCAAGCAAAAAACAUUCAAACAAUCAGAAUCGCAGAUAUAAGCGGCGGAGAUGCAAAGUUUACAGACCUGCGCCUCCGAGGAACAGAGUGUUGGAGGAGCCCGGAGGUUUGACGGACGGUGGAAACGCAGUCGUCUCGACCUGGAGUCCGGCGAGCGAUGGCGUUGGAGCCAUUUGACAAUUUUGUUGUUAUUGUGUAGAGAGAGAGAUGGGGUUUGCUUUCGGAAACGGUGGAUUUAAAUAGAGAUGGAAAGUGGACGGGAGAGACCCGCUUCUCUGGGAAUAGAGAUGGAAAGUGGACGGGAGAGACCCGCUUCUCUGCCCUCCCACUUUUCAUACACACUCAUCGUUUCUGUUUUAUGAUCACGGUUAAGCUAUAUUAAAAUUUUAUAUUAAUCUUUUUAUAAAAAUAAUAAUAAUAUAAAAAUUUAACCCAACUUAAUACCUUAAUUGUAAUCGUAUAAAUAAAAAAAAGAUAAGAAUGUAUAAAAAAUAAAAGGACAGAGAGAGUCCAGGUCCGGACGGUAGAGGGUUUGAUGAGUAAGAAGAGGCGGUUGCGUGGGAGCCUUAAAGACGUGCGGGCGGCUGGAGGUAAGUCUGGGAGGUGUCCACAAACUGAUAGUCUGGUACCCAGAAAUAGAGAGAGAGAGAGAGAGAGAGUAAAAGAUUGUAAAGAACUUUUCUAAGGUAAAAAGAUAGUGAUUGGUCCAUCUUGGGUGAUGUGAUCAAUUAGUUUUAAUUAAUAGCUAAAAUAUCGAUAAUAUUGAAAAUAUCAGUAAUCUAAAAAUACGGAAAUUUUAAUGGAAAUAUCGAAAUAUUAUCGAUAUCGAUAAAAAUUGAAUAAAAAUCAUGAAAAUUGUAAGAAAACAUUGUAAGUGUAGAAAAUAUGUAGUAAUUAAUUAAAGAAGUUUAAACAUAUCAUAAUCAUUUAUAUAUUGUAUAACACAUAAACCUUAGGUGAAUUUAGAGUAAAUAAAUUUUUUAUUUGUUGAAAUUCCUUGAUAUUUUUUGCUAAAUUUUAGAAACUGUGUGUUUACAAAUAUAUUGAAGCAACUUUUUUUAUUUAACAAUUAUUAUUUAUGAAAUUUGAACUUAUAUAUCUUCUUUUUUUCAAAUAAAGUGAAAUUUAAGUAUAAUUAGACCAAAAUAUUAAAACUUAUUUAAUUUUUGUUAAAAUAAAUAAUAAAUAAUAAGGCAAAUAAAUAUUAAAAACAAAAAACAUUUAAGACAAUAGUUGCCAGGAGAUACCGGCAAUCCUUUAUUACGCGCGUUCCACUUCAGUACAUACAUCGCCACACACAGAGGAAUUAGAUCCGCUUCGGACCUUAGUGUGUUGAGCUUAAGGAUCAAAUUAUCUAGACCGUUGAUUAGUGUGUAAAAGAAAUCGGAACUGUUGAUUUUGUAUGAUAUCAGGAAAAUGAGUUAAUAAGGAUCUUGAGAUUGAAUUUAUAUGGUCCAGAUGAAUUGAUAUCUAGGCUCCGAACACUAAGAUCCGAAUCGGAUCCAAUUCCACAUAGAAGCACACGCGUUUUGUCUCCUUUCCUAAAUCAGCCCUAAUUCCAAUCUAAUCCAAUCCGCACACGAACCUCAAACCUUAAUUCCCAAAAUUUGUCCUCUAAUUCUUGCCAAAGCCCUCAAUUUCUCCCUUUUCCAAUCCCACCAUCUCCUCGUCCCAAACCCCAACCCUAAUCCAGAAGCAGAAUGCUUCUUACUCCGGGUCAUUAUCCUCGCCACCUCUCAUCCCCUUCGCCCUCUGCAAAUUCCGAUGCUUCCAUCCAAAACCCUACGAAUUCCACCCAAAUCACGCCCAAGAACCCUAAAAGCCAUCCACAGGUCCUCGACAAGGACACCUAUGUUGCGCCGAUCGAGAAGAUCAUCGAAAUUGACUUCUUUCACGAUAUUUCCAAGCUUCGAGACCGCCUCGACUAGCUCGAAGCGAUUAACACCCACGACUCAGUUCAGAUCCGAGAUGCCCAGUUGAAGAUCAUCGAGCGCCGCGGAAAGAAUGUAACUCAUAAUCCUGACCCUAAUGGUAGAAUCCCUGUGUUUCCCCCUUCCCCACUCAUUCGAACUUUCUCCCUCAUUCAUCUUCUUGUUUCUUCUCCCUCUAUCUCUGUAACUCUCCUUCCCGGAGCACAAGCACAACACACCCACACCCCACCGUGACCUCCACCACAGUGGCACACACUCCGGUGAACACCAUUACCACCUAUGGACCAUUCCUCCUCCCUUUCUCAACUCCCAGCGAGCACCAUUAGGCAAGAGGAGGCCUUGUUUGUUUUGGGAUCCGGAGAAAAGGGAUUGCUCAUUUUGAUGGGUUUGAGCGUGGAUUGCAGAGAGAGGCACUGAUCUUGGCAACUACGACGAUGGAGCCUCAACUGCAAUUUUGCGACGACGGAGCCUCGGCGAUAUUAUCGAUAAUAUCGCGAUAUAUUGAUGAUAAUUAAGUGGAUAAGUGUGAAAAUAUCGCCCUUUCAAAAAAACGAUAUUAUUGGCGAUAUUUCGCCGAUAAUAUCGAUAUUUUAGACCUUGGUUUUAAUUAUGAAAACAAUGAUUUAAUUUUGCGGUCCUCAAAGGGCAAAGAAGAAGAAACCAACUUUUCUAGGAUCAAAGGGUAGACAGCUACUUCUUAAAGGGUCAUCAAAUGGUUUUAAUUAUGAAAACCACCCACUUGCAUGGGGCUUUUUAUAUUUUUAAAGUUUGGGAUGUAUAGUAUAUGCAUAUAAUUUUUUUUUUUGAUAGAAAAAGAAAAUAUUAUAGCGAAAAAUCUCUUACACAGCUAGUACUAAUACAGUCAAAUUGAAAAGUUAGGUGAGCAUCCACAGGGUGACAAGCAUCCUAAAUACAAAGAUUCGAACAAUUAAGACCAAUAGACGCCAAAGCAUCCCAAAUACAUAAAAAAUUCACAUAUGUAUGUUCUUCUAUAAGAAAUAACAUAUUAUUCAAUAAUUAUUUACACAUGAUCAAUGGUGGAUCCAGGAUUUUAACAUAGGGUGGUCCUAAUAUACAAGUUCUAGAAGAAAAAAAAUCCGACUAAUAAAAUUUGCUCAAAAUCUGCAUAGGCUCAAAACAGCCACAUUUCCGGAUCUUCAGUGCUCCAAAACAGGCCCAAAAUGGCUAGAAUUAAAGCUUGAGAUGUCCCGAAGAUAAUUGUAUAGGGCCUCGAACCCAAAAGACACCAUAUUGGCUACCAAAAAACCCAAAACGUCACUUUGACAACACUGCACGUUGCCCAUUUAUUUGAUCACCAUAAAUAAACCGCUUAGUAUAAAAUUAUGAAACUUUGAUACGAUCAAUUCAACAGACUCACAAACAUCCUCCAAUUGGAAUCACUCCAAAAUUCAUUUGUUUGAUCACUUUUUGCCUCAGAGGAAGUCGAAUGUCCUACAUUAAGAUCAAAUUAUCAAAAUUCUACCAAAAUAACCAAUAAAUUAAUACUAAGAAUAGGGUAAAAUAUAUAGUAUAUUAUAGACUCAUCAACGUGUUAGAGUAAAAAUAUGGGUUAGGGGCCUUAGGCAGUUAACUAGAGCAGUGUGUCAGCCCCUUAGCAUUCAAGUUUGAAACUCUUUCUUCUUAAAUUUGAGUAGUUUAUAUUUUUUUGUUUGACAAGAAGAAAUAUAUUCUAAAGUACUCGAUUUUAUGGGAAAAGGGAAUCGAACUUGGAUGCAAAUAGUUAGACCCUCCCAACUGGUUGACACAAAGACAGAUUUGGUCCCAAAUUUGGGGUUUGGCUGGGUUCGAAAGCAAUGUUACAGGCAUAUCAGAUUAGGUAUAUUUACCAAUCGACAUCUAUAUUUGUUGAUUUGAAUUAAACAUAUAACAAUACAACACUAAUAUUUCUCAUAAAACAUGAUCAUUUUUCUUUAAAUUAAAUACGACAUAGCACUUUCCUAUAGCUUCAUAGAUUGUAUGUAAAUAAUUCACUAAACACAGAAUAGGAAUCCCUCUCAAGUUUUAUUUCUCCUCUCUCAGUUUUCAUGCCUCCACUUUUUCAUUUCCGGCUUCAGCACCAUUAGAUUCCUUGCACCCAUUCAACAAUUCGGAUAACCUCGCGGCCAAACUUUGCUUUGCUGCAGGAGAAACACCGUGCUUUCCAACGAUCGACUCUAGAACUGCCUCGGAAAGUAGUUUGUUUUCUAUCACCGCAUUUGCAGCUUCAGCUACGGAUGCAUUUCUAGAGAAGCUAAUCUGUGGCGAAAGCGAGAGAGAAAGUUGUCAAAAAUCCGAUGUAAACUACAGAAGUAACCAUCCAAAAGUAGGAUUACUAAAGUAGGAUUACUAACCGUUAGUGAUCCUUUGGGAGAUUGUGUGAAAAGAAUGGAAGCACCGGGUGGGAAAUUUUGAUCUUUGAAGACCUCAAGGAACUUUUCAAUGGCUUUGCCUUCUGCAUCAGUGUAAAUUCCGACUGACUUCCAAAAGACAACGCAAUUCUCCGAAACUUUGUCAGAGUAUUGCUGGCCUGUCAGUGGCAAUAUCGUUGUCACUUGAAUGAAUUUCUCAAACGGACCUACAAAAGGAUAGCGAAUAUCAUAAAUCACGCUACAAAACCCAAGUCAUAUCUUUAGUAACUGUUUCUUAUGCCUCAAGUAAUCAUCAUAACCAGAACAUAGCACUAUAUCUUGAGAGAUUCAUUCAUUCUAAUUGGCUAGUCAGGACUAAAUUACCACCAUAAGCACACAUAAAUGUACAAACUUAGAAUACAACUUGAAAAAUUUACAACAUUCAUCGACCACGACAGAUCUAUAUCGGCCUCUGAGAGAACGGUGGGCAGUAGGAUUGCCUCAGUUUGCCAUGACUACCAAUCAUUCUAAAACGGCUCCACCUUAAGAUGCAGGGCAUGAGCAAUAUCUACACUUUCAACAGCAUCAACAAGAGCUCAAAUCAAUUUACCAAAAGAUACAGAAGGCAUCCAUUUGAAGAUUAAUAUGAUUAUAGUUUGAAUCUGACCGUGCAACCGGACUAUGAUAAAUAGAAGGGAAGAUAUAUAUGAAACCAACUUAUCUUUAACAAGUCAUCCACUUGUGUGAACCUUUUUUAAUGUGAAAAUGUACUUAUGAAAAGGUACGGAUAAAGGGUCAAACAUAUAUAAGUUAAAUAAAAUUGUUAAAUAAAGAGUCGAAAAUAUGUAUUCAUAGGUCGAACAUCAAUGAAUUUUGCUCCAAAAGAAGUCAAAAGUUAACUUAAACUCUAAAUUUGACUUAUUUCAUCUCUAAUACACUGAAAAAAAUUAGUUAUAUAUAUGAAUAAUUUUUCGUUCUAUCUGGUAAAUUUAGCUAAAAUUGGUUUCACCAUAGCAUGCAAUUUUAUUCCUUUGCUAAUUAUAACACGACAAAGUAACAAAUUUGCAUUGGUAACUGGAAUUUACUGUCAAAAUUCAAACGGUUGUUAAAACAGCAAAGAAAUCCCCGGUACCUGUAACGAUGUCCCUGAAGAACUCAACGGACUCCAUCAACUCCUCGGCUGUCUUACCCUUCCACUUAACGGCGAGCUGAGGCACGGCGUUAUCCUCCAAGUACACUCCGAUUGCCGUGAACUUCACGAAGUUCCCCUGAAUCUCCAGCCCCCUCACCCCUGCGCAUGUUAGGAAGCAAAGUACCGUCAAUCAAAACCAAAAGCAACAAACAAUCAUAAUUACGGAUAUAAGCGCCGGACAUGCAAAGUUUACAAACCUGCGCCGCCGAGGAACAGAGUGUUGGAGGAGCCCGGAGGUUUGACGGACGGUGGAAACGCAGUCGUUUCGACCUGAAGUCCGGCGAGCGACGGUGGUGGAGCUAUUUGACAAUCUUUCUCAUUUCCGGCUUUGGCAUCUUUAGAUUCAUUACACCCGUUCAACAAUUUGGAUAACCUUUCGGCCAAACUUUGCUUUGCUGCAGGGGAAACACCGUGCUUUCCAACGAUCGACUCUAGAACUGCCUCGGAAAGUAGUUUGUUUUCUAUCACCGUGUUUGCAGCUUCAGGUACGGAUGCAUCUCUAGAGAAGCUAAUCUGUGGCGAAAGCAAGGGGGAAAGAUGUCAAAAUCC
This 7033-nucleotide long non-coding RNA is filed under the name Malus domestica (apple). Its description in RNAcentral is "long non-coding RNA (MDOM_LNC001017)". The record is from RNAcentral. Lineage: Eukaryota; Viridiplantae; Streptophyta; Magnoliopsida; Rosales; Rosaceae.